RNAcentral lists this ribosomal RNA (253 nucleotides) under uncultured bacterium. RNAcentral's name for it is "partial 16S ribosomal RNA". It matches the Rfam family "Bacterial small subunit ribosomal RNA", at positions 524 to 776 of the family's 1533-position model. The record is from RNAcentral.
UACAGAGGGGGCAAGCGUUGUUCGGAAUUACUGGGCGUAAAGGGCGCGUAGGCGGCCCGCUAAGUCGAACGUGAAAUCCCCAGGCUUAACCUGGGAACUGCGUCCGAUACUGGCAGGCUUGAAUCCGGGAGAGGGAUGUGGAAUUCCCGGUGUAGCGGUGAAAUGCGCAGAUAUCGGGAGGAACACCAGUAGCGAAGGCGGCACUCUGGGCCGGUACUGACGCUGAGGAGCGAAAGCGUGGGGAGCGAACAGG